This is a long non-coding RNA of Lagenorhynchus albirostris (white-beaked dolphin), 357 nucleotides long. RefSeq lists it as uncharacterized. The record is from RefSeq and is a predicted model, not a curated record. NCBI's taxonomy places the organism in Eukaryota, Metazoa, Chordata, Mammalia, Artiodactyla, Delphinidae. The transcript is spliced from 3 exons.
GCCCUCGGCCCCCACCAGCCCGCCCACCAGGCCUCGAUGGCUCUCUCGAAUCUCGCCCGCCCUGUAGCCCCCAACUUCUCCCAAGCACGCCUUCUCAGCUCACAUCUUUCAAAGGGACCACGUGGAGAGAGAGAAAGGGAGACUCUCAGACGGCAGCAUCACCGAAAUAACCUUUCCAGUGAAUGAGAUAGAUGACAGAGGUGUCAGCCAGAUAGAGCUCUGUGGACCCAGGAAUGAGACCCACCUCUGUUGGGAAAAUUCCAUGGCGAGCCUGCUUGGAAGCUGAGACCCAAGUGUGAGGAAGCACUGCCCAGCCUAGAACAAGGAGAGGGAUUUGUUGACUGCAGUGGACAGGGC